This 460-nucleotide ribosomal RNA is filed under the name uncultured bacterium. Its description in RNAcentral is "partial 16S ribosomal RNA". It matches the Rfam family "Bacterial small subunit ribosomal RNA", at positions 338 to 795 of the family's 1533-position model. The record is from RNAcentral.
CCUACGGGUGGCAGCAGUGAGGAAUAUUGGUCAAUGGGCGCGAGCCUGAACCAGCCAAGUAGCGUGAGGGAUGACUGCCCUACGGGUUGUAAACUUCUUUUGUCAGGGAAUAAAGUGAGGCACGUGUGCCUUUAUGUAUGUACUUUAAGAAUAAGGAUCGGCUAACUCCGUGCCAGCAGCCGCGGUAAUACGGAGGAUUCGAGCGUUAUCCGGAUUUAUUGGGUUUAAAGGGAGCGGAGGUGGGUUGUUAAGUCAGUUGUGAAAGGCUGGGGCUCAACCGCGGGACUGCAAUUGAUACUGGCAGUCUCGAGUUCAGGAGAGGUAUGCGGAAUGCGUGGUGUAGCGGUGAAAUGCAUAGAUAUCACGAAGAACUCCGAUUGCGAAGGCAGCCUGCUGGACUGCCACUGACGUUGAGGCACGAAAGCGUGGGUAUCAAACAGGAUUAGAUACCCUAGUAGUC